AUUGAACGCUGGCGGCAGGCUUAACACAUGCAAGUCGAACGAGUGGCGGACGGGUGAAUUAUGCUUGGUACUCCCGCUUAUGGAGGGGGAUAACCACGGGAAACUGUAGCAAAUACCGCGUUCUCUAGGAUGAGCCCAAGUGGGAUUAGGUAGUUGGGGGGGUAAAGGCUCACCAAGCAGACGCUCUCUAGCUGGUCUGAGAGGAUGACCAGCCACACUGGGACUGAGACACGGCCCAGACGCCUACGGGAGGCAGCAGUGGGGAAUAUUGCACAAUGGGCGCAAGCCUGAUGCAGCCAUGCCGCGUGUAUGAAGAAGGCCUUAGGGUUGUAAAGUACUUUCAGCGGGGAGGCGUUACCCGCAGAAGAAGCACCGGCUAACUCCGUGCCAGCAGCCGCGGUAAUUC
This 406-nucleotide ribosomal RNA is filed under the name uncultured bacterium. Its description in RNAcentral is "partial 16S ribosomal RNA". It matches the Rfam family "Bacterial small subunit ribosomal RNA", at positions 30 to 526 of the family's 1533-position model. The record is from RNAcentral.